UGCUGUUGGAAUCGUAGUCCCGGC
RNAcentral lists this microRNA (24 nucleotides) under Canis lupus familiaris (dog). RNAcentral's name for it is "cfa-miR-8799f". Lineage: Eukaryota; Metazoa; Chordata; Mammalia; Carnivora; Canidae. The record is from miRBase by way of RNAcentral.